GAUAUGGCUCAGAAUCAACGCUGGCGGCGUGCCUAACACAUGCAAGUCGAGCGAGAAAAGGGGGGCAACUCCCUGAGUACAGCGGCGCACGGGUGAGUAACACGUGGGUAAUCUGCCCUGAAGUGGGGAAUAACACCGGGAAACCGGUGCUAAUACCGCAUACGAUCACGAGGUCUGCGGAUUUUGUGAUGAAAGGAGCAAUUCGCUUUAGGAGGAGCCCGCGGCUGAUUAGCUAGUUGGUGAGGUAAUGGCUCACCAAGGCAACGAUCAGUAUCCGGUCUGAGAGGACGGUCGGACACACUGGAACUGAGACACGGUCCAGACUCCUACGGGAGGCAGCAGUGGGGAAUUUUUGGCAAUGGGGGGCCAACCCUGACCAAGCAACGCCGCGUGGGUGAUGAAGUCUCUUGGGACGUAAAACCCUUUCGACGGGGAAGAAACCGCAAGGUUGACGGUACCCGUAGAAGAAGCCCCGGCUAACUCCGUGCCAGCCGCAGC
This 498-nucleotide ribosomal RNA is filed under the name uncultured bacterium. Its description in RNAcentral is "bacterial SSU rRNA". It matches the Rfam family "Bacterial small subunit ribosomal RNA", at positions 15 to 518 of the family's 1533-position model. The record is from RNAcentral.